This 505-nucleotide ribosomal RNA is filed under the name uncultured bacterium. RNAcentral's name for it is "partial 16S ribosomal RNA". It matches the Rfam family "Bacterial small subunit ribosomal RNA", at positions 28 to 523 of the family's 1533-position model. The record is from RNAcentral.
GAUGAACGCUAGCUACAGGCUUAACACAUGCAAGUCGAGGGGUAACGAGAGGAAAGCUUGCUUUCCUUGUCGACGACCGGCGCACGGGUGAGUAACGCGUAUCCAACCUGCCCCCAACUAAGGAAUAACCUUGCGAAAGUAAGACUAAUACCUUAUAAUUUCCUCAGAUGUCAUCUGACGAGGAAUAAAGAUUUAUCGGUUGUGGAUGGGGAUGCGUCUGAUUAGCUUGUUGGCGGGGUAACGGCCCACCAAGGCAACGAUCAGUAGGGGUUCUGAGGGGAAGGUCCCCCACAUUGGAACUGAGACACGGUCCAAACUCCUACGGGAGGCAGCAGUGAGGAAUAUUGGUCAAUGGGCGAAAGCCUGAACCAGCCAAGUAGCGUGCAGGAGGACGGCCUAUGGGUUGUAAACUGCUUUUAUACAGGAAUAAAGUUAGCCACGUGUGGUUAUUUGUAGGUACUGUAUGAAUAAGGACCGGCUAAUUCCGUGCCAGCCGCCGCCGUAA